UACGUAGGAGGCAAGCGUUGUCCGGAGUUACUGGGCGUAAAGCGCGCGCAGGCGGCAGUCUAAGUCCUCUGUGAAAUCACCCGGCUCAACUGGGUGGCUGCGGAGGAGACUGGGCAGCUUGAGGGGCCUAGAGGCCGGUGGAACUCCCGGUGUAGUGGUGAAAUGCGUAGAGAUCGGGAAGAACACCAGUGGCGAAGGCGGCCGGCUGGGGGCGCCCUGACGCUGAGGCGCGAGAGCGUGGGGAGCAAACCGG
This 253-nucleotide ribosomal RNA is filed under the name uncultured bacterium. Its description in RNAcentral is "partial 16S ribosomal RNA". It matches the Rfam family "Bacterial small subunit ribosomal RNA", at positions 524 to 776 of the family's 1533-position model. The record is from RNAcentral.